RNAcentral lists this ribosomal RNA (963 nucleotides) under Salmonella enterica subsp. enterica serovar Stanley. Its description in RNAcentral is "partial 23S ribosomal RNA". It matches the Rfam family "Bacterial large subunit ribosomal RNA", at positions 1290 to 2236 of the family's 2925-position model. Lineage: Bacteria; Pseudomonadati; Pseudomonadota; Gammaproteobacteria; Enterobacterales; Enterobacteriaceae. The record is from RNAcentral.
GCGAAUGCUGACAUAAGUAACGAUAAAGCGGGUGAAAAGCCCGCUCGCCGGAAGACCAAGGGUUCCUGUCCAACGUUAAUCGGGGCAGGGUGAGUCGACCCCUAAGGCGAGGCCGAAAGGCGUAGUCGAUGGGAAACGGGUUAAUAUUCCCGUACUUGGUGUUACUGCGAAGGGGGGACGGAGAAGGCUAUGUUGGCCGGGCGACGGUUGUCCCGGUUUAAGCGUGUAGGUGUGUGUUCCAGGUAAAUCCGGUUCACUUUAACACUGAGGCGUGACGACGAGGCACUACGGUGCUGAAGCAACAAAUGCCCUGCUUCCAGGAAAAGCCUCUAAGCAUCAGGUAACAUCAAAUCGUACCCCAAACCGACACAGGUGGUCAGGUAGAGAAUACCAAGGCGCUUGAGAGAACUCGGGUGAAGGAACUAGGCAAAAUGGUGCCGUAACUUCGGGAGAAGGCACGCUGACACGUAGGUGAAGUGAUUUACUCAUGGAGCUGAAGUCAGUCGAAGAUACCAGCUGGCUGCAACUGUUUAUUAAAAACACAGCACUGUGCAAACACGAAAGUGGACGUAUACGGUGUGACGCCUGCCCGGUGCCGGAAGGUUAAUUGAUGGGGUCAGCGCAAGCGAAGCUCCUGAUCGAAGCCCCGGUAAACGGCGGCCGUAACUAUAACGGUCCUAAGGUAGCGAAAUUCCUUGUCGGGUAAGUUCCGACCUGCACGAAUGGCGUAAUGAUGGCCAGGCUGUCUCCACCCGAGACUCAGUGAAAUUGAACUCGCUGUGAAGAUGCAGUGUACCCGCGGCAAGACGGAAAGACCCCGUGAACCUUUACUAUAGCUUGACACUGAACAUUGAGCCUUGAUGUGUAGGAUAGGUGGGAGGCUUUGAAGCGUGGACGCCAGUCUGCGUGGAGCCGACCUUGAAAUACCACCCUUUAAUGUUUGAUGUUCUAACGUGGACCCGU